RNAcentral lists this ribosomal RNA (255 nucleotides) under uncultured bacterium. Its description in RNAcentral is "partial 16S ribosomal RNA". It matches the Rfam family "Bacterial small subunit ribosomal RNA", at positions 524 to 776 of the family's 1533-position model. The record is from RNAcentral.
UACGUAGGGGGCAAGCGUUGUCCGGAUUUAUUGGGCGUAAAGAGCUCGUAGGCGGCUCAGUAAGUCAGGUGUGAAAACUCCAGGCUCAACCUGGAGACGCCACCUGAUACUGCUGUGGCUAGAGUCCGGUAGGGGGAGCAUGGAAUUCCUGGUGUAGCGGUGAAAUGCGCAGAUAUCAGGAGGAACACCAGUGGCGAAGGCGGUACUCUGGGCCGGAACUGACGCUGAGGAGCGAAAGCGUGGGGAGCAAACAGG